CAUUUUGUAAUAAAAUCUACAAGUAAUAAAAAAUCUCAUAUUUAAAAAAAUCUGGAAAUUCUCUUCAUGUUGCUCUUAAAACUAUUGAUUCAUUUUUGAAAUUAUCGGAGGAAUUAAAUGUUAAGGUCGUUUUAUA
Molecule: long non-coding RNA, 136 nt
Organism: Melitaea cinxia (Glanville fritillary)
Lineage: Eukaryota; Metazoa; Arthropoda; Insecta; Lepidoptera; Nymphalidae
Exons: 3
Source: RefSeq, a predicted model, not a curated record